Long non-coding RNA from Saccostrea echinata, 290 nucleotides. RefSeq lists it as uncharacterized. The transcript has 3 exons. The record is from RefSeq and is a predicted model, not a curated record. NCBI's taxonomy places the organism in Eukaryota, Metazoa, Mollusca, Bivalvia, Ostreida, Ostreidae.
GACUGUACCUGUGCUGAUAACCAGGUUGCUGCCUGUCACCAUGGACACUGUUCAUGUCACCAUGAUAGUGGUCAUCACCCACGUGCACUUUGUCAUAAUGGUCACCAGUGCACAUGUCCUGACGGACAGACAGGUGUUUGUAACUCAAAUGGACACUGUGAUUGUGGACACAACGGGAAAAGACAAGUAGCCUCUUGCACAACCGCUGCUGACUGUACAUGUGCUGAUAACCAGGUUGCUGCCUGUCACCAUGGACACUGUUCAUGCCACCAUGAUAGUGGUCAUCACCC